UUCAAGGUCCCUCCAUCCCCA
Molecule: transfer RNA, 21 nt
Filed under: Stereospermum colais
Lineage: Eukaryota; Viridiplantae; Streptophyta; Magnoliopsida; Lamiales; Bignoniaceae
Description: partial tRNA-Leu
Source: RNAcentral